RNAcentral lists this ribosomal RNA (466 nucleotides) under uncultured bacterium. Its description in RNAcentral is "partial 16S ribosomal RNA". It matches the Rfam family "Bacterial small subunit ribosomal RNA", at positions 28 to 507 of the family's 1533-position model. The record is from RNAcentral.
GACGAACGCUGGCGGCGUGCUUAACACAUGCAAGUCGUGCGGUAAGGCCCUUUCGGGGGUACACGAGCGGCGAACGGGUGCGUAACACGUGAGCAACCUGCCCUUCACUUUGGGAUAACUGCCGGAAACGGUGGCUAAUACCGGAUAUGACUUCCUCACGCAUGUGGGGUGGUGGAAAGCCUUCGGGUGGUGGGGGAUGGGCUCGCGGUCUAUCAGCUUGUUGGUGGGGUGAUGGCCUACCAAGGCUUCGACGGGUAGCCGGCCUGAGAGGGUGACCGGCCACACUGGGACUGGGACACGGCCCAGACUCCUACGGGAGGCAGCAGUGGGGAAUAUUGGACAAUGGGCGAAGGCCUGAUCCAGCAACGCCGCGUGAGGGAUGACGGCCUUCGGGUUGUAAACCUCUUUCGCCUGCGACGAAGCGAGAGUGACGGUAGCAGGUAAAGAAGCACCGGCCAACUACGUG